AGUGAACGCUGGCGGCAGGCCUUACACAUGCAAGUCGAACGGCAACACAGUAUGCGCUUGCCUUAACGGGUGCCAAGUGGCGGAUGGGUGAUCAAAACAUGCGUAGUAAUUUUUUCGAGGGAGUCAACGUAGGGACAAUUACGCCAAUACCGCAUACGACGUAAGGGUGAGAGCAGGGGAUCUUCGGCUAUUGCGCGGUUGAAUGAGCCGAUGUCGGAUUAGUUAGUUGGCGGGGUAAAGGCCCACCAAGGCGACGAUCCGUAGCUGGUCUGAGAGGAUGAUCAGCCACACUGGAACUGAGACACGGUCCAGACUCCUACGGGAGGCAGCAGUGGGGAAUAUUGGACAAUGGGCGCAAGCCUGAUCCAGCCAUGCCGCGUGGGUGAAGAAGGCCUUCGGGUUGUAAAGCCCUUUUGUAGGGAAAGAAAAGCAGCAGGUUAAUACCCCGCUGUUCUGACGGUACCCAAAGAAUAAGCACCGGCUAACUUCGUG
Molecule: ribosomal RNA, 492 nt
Filed under: uncultured bacterium
Lineage: Bacteria
Description: partial 16S ribosomal RNA
Rfam family: Bacterial small subunit ribosomal RNA
Source: RNAcentral